CCUACGGGAGGCAGCAGUGGGGAAUAUUGGGCAAUGGGCGCAAGCCUGACCCAGCAACGCCGCGUGAAGGAAGAAGGCCCUCGGGUUGUAAACUUCUUUUAACAGGGACGAAGAAAGUGACGGUACCUGUUGAAUAAGCCACGGCUAACUACGUGCCAGCAGCCGCGGUAAUACGUAGGUGGCAAGCGUUAUCCGGAUUUACGGGGUGUAAAGGGCGUGUAGGCGGGAGAGCAAGGCAGACGGGAAAUGCGAGGGCUCAACCCUGGAACUGGGUUUGAAACUGUUCUUCGUGAGUGAUGGAGAGGCAGGCGGAAGUCCGGGUGUAGCGGUGAAAUGCGUAGAUAUACGGAGGAACACCAGUGGCGAAGGCGGCCUGCUGGACAUUAACUGACGCUGAGGCGCGAAAGCGUGGGGAGCAAACAGGAUUAGAUACCCGAGUAGUC
Molecule: ribosomal RNA, 443 nt
Filed under: uncultured bacterium
Lineage: Bacteria
Description: partial 16S ribosomal RNA
Rfam family: Bacterial small subunit ribosomal RNA
Source: RNAcentral